AUACUUACCUGGCAGGGGAGAUACCAUGAUCACAAAGGUGGUUUUCCCAGGGCGAGGCUUAUCUAUUGCACUCCGGAUGUGCUGACCCCUGCGAUUUCCCCUAAUGUGGAAACUCAACUGCAUAAUGUGUGGUCGUGGGGGACUGCGUUCGCCCUCUCCCCUG
This 163-nucleotide small nuclear RNA is filed under the name Echinops telfairi (small Madagascar hedgehog). RNAcentral describes it as "U1 spliceosomal RNA (ENSETEG00000020892.1)". It matches the Rfam family "U1 spliceosomal RNA". Rfam says of the family: U1 is a small nuclear RNA (snRNA) component of the spliceosome (involved in pre-mRNA splicing). Its 5' end forms complementary base pairs with the 5' splice junction, thus defining the 5' donor site of an intron. There are significant differences in sequence and secondary structure between metazoan and yeast U1 snRNAs, the latter being much longer (568 nucleotides as compared to 164 nucleotides in human). Lineage: Eukaryota; Metazoa; Chordata; Mammalia; Afrosoricida; Tenrecidae. The record is from RNAcentral.